RNAcentral lists this non-coding RNA (29 nucleotides) under Homo sapiens (human). The record is from RNAcentral. Lineage: Eukaryota; Metazoa; Chordata; Mammalia; Primates; Hominidae.
UNGCACACAGAGAGGAUUCUGUGUAUGAG